CAGGACCCUGGUUAUUUGCUGCAACAGCAAUUUGAACUCCAGCAGCAGCAACAGCAAUUCGAACUCCAACAGCAGCAACAACAGCCUCAACAUCAGCCGCAACAAUCACAACCUCAACAUCAGCCGCAGCAGCAACAACAGCUUCAACAUCAUCAGCAGCAGCAGUUUAUUCAUGGGGGACACUACAUUCAUCAUAACCCUGCAAUUCCUACAUACUAUCCUGUAUAUCCUUCACAGCAACAGCCCCAUCAUCAGGUUUACUAUGUACCUGCAAGACAGCCCCAACAAGGUUAUAAUAUUUCUGUUCAGCAGGCUAAUAUGGGUGAAUCUGCCACAACAAUCCCUU
This 346-nucleotide long non-coding RNA is filed under the name Medicago truncatula (barrel medic). RNAcentral's name for it is "long non-coding RNA (MTRU_LNC007859)". The record is from RNAcentral. Lineage: Eukaryota; Viridiplantae; Streptophyta; Magnoliopsida; Fabales; Fabaceae.